AGCAGCCGCGGUAAUUCCAGCUCCAAUAGCGUAUAUUAAAGUUGUUGCAGUUAAAAAGCUCGUAGUUGAAUUUCGGGAUCAAAUUGUCGGUCGUGCCUCGGUACGUACUGGUAUUAUUGGUUCCUCCCUUCUGAAGAACCACGAUGUCAUUAAUUUGGUGUCAUGGGAAAUCAGGACUGUUACUUUGAAAAAAUUAGAGUGUUUAAAGCAGGCUCGCGCUUGAAUACAUUAGCAUGGAAUAAUGAAAUAGGACGUUUGAUUCUAUUUUGUUGGUUUCUAGGAUCGACGUAAUGAUUAAUAGGGAUAGUUGGGGGCAUUAGUAUUCAAUUGUCAGAGGUGAAAUUCUUGGAUUUAUUGAAGACUAACUACUGCGAAAGCAUUUGCCAAGGAUGUUUUCAUUAAUCAAGAACGAAAGUUAGGGGAUCGAAGACGAUCAGAUACCGUCGUAGUCUUAACCAUAAACUAUGCUGACUAGGGAUCGGAUGAUGUUAAUUUUUUAAUGACUCAUUCGGCGCCUUACG
This 521-nucleotide ribosomal RNA is filed under the name uncultured Glomus. Its description in RNAcentral is "SSU rRNA". It matches the Rfam family "Eukaryotic small subunit ribosomal RNA", at positions 569 to 1092 of the family's 1831-position model. The record is from RNAcentral. Lineage: Eukaryota; Fungi; Glomeromycota; Glomeromycetes; Glomerales; Glomeraceae.